This 450-nucleotide ribosomal RNA is filed under the name uncultured bacterium. RNAcentral's name for it is "bacterial SSU rRNA". It matches the Rfam family "Bacterial small subunit ribosomal RNA", at positions 354 to 796 of the family's 1533-position model. The record is from RNAcentral.
GUGGGGAAUAUUGGACAAUGGGCGCAAGCCUGAUCCAGCAAUGCCGCGUGUGUGAAGAAGGCCUGCGGGUUGUAAAGCACUUUAAGCAGGAAAGAAGGCUUCAGGGUUAAUACCCUUGGGGAUUGACGUUACCUGCAGAAUAAGCACCGGCUAACUCCGUGCCAGCAGCCGCGGUAAUACGGAGGGUGCGAGCGUUAAUCGGAAUUACUGGGCGUAAAGCGCGCGUAGGCGGUUUGCUAAGUCCGCUGUGAAAGCCCCGGGCUUAACCUGGGAACUGCAGUGGAUACUGGCAAGCUAGAGUAUGGUAGAGGAGAGUGGAAUUUCCGGUGUAGCAGUGAAAUGCGUAGAGAUCGGAAGGAACACCAGUGGCGAAGGCGGCUCUCUGGACCAAUACUGACGCUGAGGUGCGAAAGCGUGGGGAGCAAACAGGAUUAGAAACCCGGGUAGUCC